Molecule: ribosomal RNA, 347 nt
Filed under: uncultured bacterium
Lineage: Bacteria
Description: bacterial SSU rRNA
Rfam family: Bacterial small subunit ribosomal RNA
Source: RNAcentral
GGGAGGCAGCAGUGAGGAAUAUUGGUCAAUGGGCGAGAGCCUGAACCAGCCAAGUAGCGUGAAGGAUGACUGCCUAUGGGUUGUAAACUUCUUUUAUAAAGGAAUAAGUCGGGUAUGCAUACCCGUUUGCAUGUACUUUAUGAAUAAGGAUCGGCUAACUCCGUGCCAGCAGCCGCGGUAAUACGGAGGAUCCGAGCGUUAUCCGGAUUUAUUGGGUUUAAAGGGAGCGUAGAUGGAUGUUUAAGUCAGUUGUGAAAGUUUGCGGCUCAACCGUAAAAUUGCAGUUGAUACUGGAUAUCUUGAGUGCAGUUGAGGCAGGCGGAAUUCGUGGUGUAGCGGUGAAAUGC